Molecule: non-coding RNA, 22 nt
Filed under: Arabidopsis thaliana (thale cress)
Lineage: Eukaryota; Viridiplantae; Streptophyta; Magnoliopsida; Brassicales; Brassicaceae
Source: RNAcentral
ACAAAAUAAGGAAUGCUUCUGA